RNAcentral lists this ribosomal RNA (468 nucleotides) under uncultured bacterium. RNAcentral describes it as "partial 16S ribosomal RNA". It matches the Rfam family "Bacterial small subunit ribosomal RNA", at positions 28 to 507 of the family's 1533-position model. The record is from RNAcentral.
GACGAACGCUGGCGGCGUGCUUAACACAUGCAAGUCGAACGGAAAGGCCCUGCUUUCGUGGGGUGCUCGAGUGGCGAACGGGUGAGUAACACGUGAGUAACCUGCCCUUGACUUUGGGAUAACUUCAGGAAACUGGGGCUAAUACCGGAUAGGAGCUCCUGCUGCAUGGUGGGGGUUGGAAAGUUUCGGCGGUUGGGGAUGGACUCGCGGCUUAUCAGCUUGUUGGUGGGGUAGUUGCUUACCAAGGCUGUGACGGGUAGCCGGCCUGAGAGGGUGACCGGCGACAUUGGGACUAAGAUACGGACCAGACUCCUACGGGAGGCAGCAGUGGGGAAUAUUGCACAAUGGGCGGAAGCCUGAUGCAGCAACGCCGCGUGCGGGAUGACGGCCUUCGGGGUGUAAACCGCUUUCGCCUGUGACGAAGCGUGAGUGACGGUAAUGGGUAAAGAAGCACCGGCUAACUACGUG